CACGUAGGGGGCAAGCGUUGUCCGGAUUCAUUGGGCGUAAAGAGCUCGUAGGCGGUUCGAUAAGUCGGGUGUGAAACCUCCAGGCUCAACCUGGAGACGCCACCCGAUACUGUCGUGACUAGAGUCCAGUAGGGGAGCGUGGAAUUCCUGGUGUAGCGGUGAAAUGCGCAGAUAUCAGGAGGAACACCGGUGGCGAAGGCGGUUCUCUGGGCAUUACCUGACGCUGAGGAGCGAAAGUGUGGGGAGCGAACAGG
This 254-nucleotide ribosomal RNA is filed under the name uncultured bacterium. Its description in RNAcentral is "partial 16S ribosomal RNA". It matches the Rfam family "Bacterial small subunit ribosomal RNA", at positions 524 to 776 of the family's 1533-position model. The record is from RNAcentral.